AACGAACGCUGGCGGCGCGUCUUAACCAUGCAAGUCGAGCGGCAGGCAGCAAUGCCGAGAGCGGCGGGCUGGUGAGUAACACGUGGAUAACGUACCCCGAUGUCCGGGACAGCCUGUAGAAAUAGAGGGUAAUACCGGAUAGAUCACUGUUUACGUGAGGUAGACAGCGGGAAAGGAGCUUCGGCUCCGCGACGGGAUCGGUCUGCGGCCCAUCAGCUGGACGGCGGGGUAAAGGCCCGCCGUGGCGAGGACGGGUAUCCGGCCUGAGAGGGCGGACGGACACAUUGGGACUGAGAUACGGCCCAGACUCCUACGGGAGGCAGCAGGUAAGAAUAUUCCGCAAUGGGGGGAACCCUGACGGAGCGACGCCGCGUGAACGAAGAAGGCCGGAAGGUUGUAAAGUUCUUUUCUGUCCGAGGAAUAAGUUUCGGAGGAAAUGCCGGGACGGUGACGGUAGGGCAGGAAUAAGCACCGGCUAAUUACGUG
This 486-nucleotide ribosomal RNA is filed under the name uncultured bacterium. Its description in RNAcentral is "partial 16S ribosomal RNA". It matches the Rfam family "Bacterial small subunit ribosomal RNA", at positions 29 to 507 of the family's 1533-position model. The record is from RNAcentral.